This is a long non-coding RNA of Pangasianodon hypophthalmus (striped catfish), 688 nucleotides long. RefSeq lists it as uncharacterized. NCBI's taxonomy places the organism in Eukaryota, Metazoa, Chordata, Actinopteri, Siluriformes, Pangasiidae. The record is from RefSeq and is a predicted model, not a curated record. The transcript is spliced from 3 exons.
CCGCAGCUUUGUGAUCUUACAAUGUCACAUUUUAAGAUGAGAUGUUUCAGGUUGUGGAUGUUUUAUUGGUGAUGUUUGGUGUUUAGAAACGGUUGUAGGUUAUGAGAAAGGAUCAAAAGGCUAUGGCUAUGUCGACUUUGAGUCUGCCGAGGCAGCGGAUAGGGCGAUGAAGAGGAUCAAUAGCAAACCUCCUUAAAAACCGCAAAGUGUUUAUUGAACACUUUACAUUCUGUGAGGAGUGUGAGGCUGAGGUGGACCCCCGCUUUCUGAAAGACAGCUUCAGCAUUCCAGUGAUGAUCCCUAAUAGAUAGUGUUAUGAGAUCUAAACCUUCACAUGAAUAUAAUGACUUGAACAUGAAAUAAACACUAGGAGCAAGUCUCAUUAGAAAGUAUUCUAGAGUUUAAGCUGAGGCUUUAAAUGGUGUGUGAGUGCGUGGGAAGGAGUUGAAUGGCAAGCAGUUGUACGUGGGCUGAGCACAGACUAAAGUAGAGAGACAGACCAAACUCAAUCACAAGUUCGAGCAGGUAAACACACACGCCUGACUUCCCAUGCCCGAAUCCUUAACUAAAGUGGAUCUGCAACCGAGUAUAAAAAAUGACAAUUUAAUUUAUGAUUAUGUUAGUUUACGAUUAUGUUAGUAGGGGGAUGACAUGUAAAAUGUGCUGUAAUUCCUACACCAUUCACCCA